This 435-nucleotide ribosomal RNA is filed under the name uncultured bacterium. RNAcentral describes it as "bacterial SSU rRNA". It matches the Rfam family "Bacterial small subunit ribosomal RNA", at positions 68 to 518 of the family's 1533-position model. The record is from RNAcentral.
UUCUUCGGAUUGAAGGAUCUUGUGACUAGUGGCGGACGGGUGAGUAACGCGUGGGCAACCUGCCUCACACUGGGGGACGAACAGUUGGAAACGACUGCUAAUACCGCAUAAGCGCACACUGCUGCAUGGCAGAGUGUGAAAAACUCCGGUGGUGUGAGAUGGGCCCGCGUUGGAUUAGGUAGUUGGUGAGGUAACGGCCCACCAAGCCGACGAUCCAUAGCCGACCUGAGAGGGUGACCGGCCACAUUGGGACUGAGACACGGCCCAAACUCCUACGGGAGGCAGCAGUGGGGAAUAUUGCACAAUGGGGGAAACCCUGAUGCAGCCGACGCCGCGUGAGUGAAGAAGUAUUUCGGUAUGUAAAGCUCUAUCAGCAGGGAAGAAGAUGACGGUACCUGCACAAGAAGCCCCGGCUAACUACGUGCCAGCAGCUGC